RNAcentral lists this non-coding RNA (30 nucleotides) under Rattus norvegicus (Norway rat). The record is from RNAcentral. Lineage: Eukaryota; Metazoa; Chordata; Mammalia; Rodentia; Muridae.
UCAGGUUGUCCUAAAGUACUCAGUCCCUAU